This 399-nucleotide ribosomal RNA is filed under the name uncultured bacterium. Its description in RNAcentral is "bacterial SSU rRNA". It matches the Rfam family "Bacterial small subunit ribosomal RNA", at positions 8 to 409 of the family's 1533-position model. The record is from RNAcentral.
AGAGUUUGAUCCUGGCUCAGAUUGAACGCUGGCGGCAGGCCUAACACAUGCAAGUCGAGCGGAUGAGUGGAGCUUGCUCCAUGAUUCAGCGGCGGACGGGUGAGUAAUGCCUAGGAAUCUGCCUGGUAGUGGGGGACAACGUUUCGAAAGGAACGCUAAUACCGCAUACGUCCUACGGGAGAAAGCAGGGGACCUUCGGGCCUUGCGCUAUCAGAUGAGCCUAGGUCGGAUUAGCUAGUAGGUGAGGUAAUGGCUCACCUAGGCGACGAUCCGCAACUGGUCUGAGAGGAUGAUCAGUCACACUGGAACUGAGACACGGUCCAGACUCCUACGGGAGGCAGCAGUGGGGAAUAUUGGACAAUGGGCGAAAGCCUGAUCCAGCCAUGCCGCGUGUGUGAA